GACGAACCGUGCGAACGUUGUUCGGAAUCACUGGGCUUAAAGGGCGCGUAGGCGGUGUGUCAAGUCAGGCGUGAAAGCCCCGGGCUCAACCUGGGAACCGCGCUUGAGACUGGCACGCUCGAGUUCGGGAGAGGAUGGUGGAAUUCCCAGUGUAGAGGUGAAAUUCGUAGAUAUUGGGAAGAACACCGAUGGCGAAGGCAGCCAUCUGGACCGACACUGACGCUGAGGCGCGAAAGCGUGGGGAGCAAACAGG
This 253-nucleotide ribosomal RNA is filed under the name uncultured bacterium. Its description in RNAcentral is "partial 16S ribosomal RNA". It matches the Rfam family "Bacterial small subunit ribosomal RNA", at positions 524 to 776 of the family's 1533-position model. The record is from RNAcentral.